Molecule: long non-coding RNA, 572 nt
Filed under: Mytilus galloprovincialis (Mediterranean mussel)
Lineage: Eukaryota; Metazoa; Mollusca; Bivalvia; Mytilida; Mytilidae
Source: RNAcentral
CUAGUUUGUAAGGGUUAUUACAUUAACGAGUCAGACGAAUUUCUUGUUUUCAAUCUAUUCGAAGUGAUGUAAGUAGAUUAAACAUAAAUAAAAAAAAAAAGAAACAAAAUUAAUAUCAUUCCCUCGUGGAAAGUUGCGUAAUUGUAAAGUGUCAUUUUAGUUACCUUUGUCCUAUAUUAAGUGUUUAUUUAAUGCUUUACGCACCAAGUACGUCACACAUAUAACGCUAUUUGAACUUCGACAAUAUACACAAUAGAAUAUAUUGUCUUAUAAGGCCCAUUCUAUAUGGAUGCGAAGGAUGGUCGUAGAAAAAGUAAAACCUUUCUGCUGAGACAACGAAUGGUCUUGUCAAAGUCAAUAAUAUAUAUAAAAAAAGAAAUAUGACAAGACAACAAUAAUUACAACCACAGAACUACAAGUUGUUGUCUGUUACCGAUAUAGAUGUAUCAAGUCUAGUCAAACAAAUAGCUGCUAUAUAUGUUUGUUGUCAAGAAUGAUAGCAAGUUAUAAUAUUGCUAUAUCGUAAAAUUUUGUGACAAUGAAAAACUUUCAAUCAUUUAGAUUACAACAGG